UUGUACAAUACCAAAGUGGAUAUUGUGAGGCCAUGCAUCAUUCUACUUUGAGCUACCGUUUGGAAAUAUACGAGACAAGAUGCCACUGUUGCCAUUACCGACCAGGUGUUGUAUAAAGUGAUGCAGAUGACAAACCAUUAACAUCGGAGCAGGAGGACGCAGUCUUAGGAGAAGCGGGAGAAGAAAACGGUGAAGAACUUUCUUCAACAUGGCCACAAAAAUGAAGGAAAAGGCAGCUCAUGCAAAACACUACACAGCUGAAGUACCUGCUAGCGAUGAGAUGUACAUGCAUGUAGCUGCUUUGAGCUAGCCAAGUGAGACUCGGACAUGGUGUUAAUUGUCUGGGAAACUAAUGGCCUUGAUGAACAGAAGUGAGCAGGUGAUGACUGAGUUGAGGCACCAAGGGAUCGACUCCCAGGAAACGAGUGAGGAUGGCACUCAUAUGCUCUGGUUUCUCCGCUCUGUUGGGUUCACCCUAAGUCAAUGUGAUGGUGGCCUGUCUUCCGGAGAUCAUAUGGACAUGUGUACUACAAGACCACACCCUUCUCUUCGUCAUACACUCACCCACACCCUCAAGUCCUCUUUGACACAAGCAAUGACUCUCAAGUGUGUGUGCCGGUGUUCAUAUAAGAAUAAGAAAUCACAGAAAGAGAAGGUUAGUUCUUGUAACUUCCACCCUAAUACCGUGUGUGAAGUGGGUGUGGUAUACUAAUGGACACAUCUCCCUCAGGAUUUUAUCUAGUGGGGGGGUGCAGGGGUGAACCUUCCCCCCCAAAAAUGCUCUACAUCAUCACACAUGCAGCCAUUAAUUUUAGACUUGUUUUGGCAUCAAUCGUUUUUAAUAACAAUCAUGGUCGAUUAUUACCCACUCCUUGAGUUUGUAUGCAAAAAUAUUCAUCAUGAUAAUUAUAAUAAUUGUGUGUAUAGUUUUGGUACCUUCAUCGAGGCAUCAGCACCCA
This is a long non-coding RNA of Halichondria panicea, 959 nucleotides long. RefSeq lists it as uncharacterized. NCBI's taxonomy places the organism in Eukaryota, Metazoa, Porifera, Demospongiae, Suberitida, Halichondriidae. The record is from RefSeq and is a predicted model, not a curated record. The transcript is spliced from 4 exons.